UAAACUAGGAUAGAUACCCUAUUAUUUUUAUUAAAUUUGAAUUUUAUUUAAAUAUUAAAUGUUAAGCAUUAAAAAUAAAAAAUUUGGCGGUAUUUAAUAUUUAGAGGAACUUGUUUAUUAAAUUGAUAAUCCACGAAUGGAAGAACUUAAUUUUAAGGGGUUUUAUGUAUUGUUGUUGUAAAAUUAUAUUAAUAGAUAAUUAUUAAAAAAUUUAAUAUAAAAUUAUAAUUCAAAUCAAAAUGUAGAAUAAUUAAGAGAUUAAUGAGUUACAAUUAAUUAAAUAAUUGGAUUUUAAAUUAAUUUAAAUUUAUAAAUGAAAAUGGAUUUAAAAGUAAAUUUAUAAAAAUUAUAAGUGAAUAAAAAUUUUUU
This 369-nucleotide ribosomal RNA is filed under the name Camponotus sp. MG053. Its description in RNAcentral is "partial 12S ribosomal RNA". Lineage: Eukaryota; Metazoa; Arthropoda; Insecta; Hymenoptera; Formicidae. The record is from RNAcentral.